GAUAUGUGUGAAGUCAAUGUCUUUUUGCUACAAGGAAAACAAAAUACAUAAGCAAUUAAGCAUCACUUUCUGAACCUGCUGCUACUUCUUCCUUUACCUUCAUUGCAAACAAUCAUCCACUAUUUUCCUUUGUUUUCUUUCUUCUAAUCUUGAGAUCAACAUGGCUGCAAGAUUUGUGGGGGAAGCUUUUCUCAACUCUGCACUUGGCACUAUCUACGACAUGCUGAUUUCACCCUUACUUGUCAACUUCAUCCAGCGAAAGAAGCUUAACCGGAAGCUGGUCGAGAAGCUGGAGACAGUUCUGAAGGCUGCUCAUGCUGUGAUCAAUGACGCCGAGCGGAGGCAGAUCGAAGAGGAAGCUGUGAAGGACUGGCUGGACAGGCUGAAGGAUGCUGUGUACGAUGCUGAAGACAUACUUGAUGAAGUCACCACCAAAGCUGCCAUUCAAAAGGUUCAAGGUAACUCUCUGUCUCGCUAUGUCAAUUUGCAUGGUGAUGGUGAGAUAGUAACCAAGAUAGAAGAGAUCAUUGAUGCAUUAGAGUCAAUUGUAAACGAGAAAGAUGGUCUUGGCUUGAAGGAGAUACCGGUGGAGGACAUGUCAUGGAGGAUCCCCUCAACAUCUCUGGUUGGUGUGCAUCAAAUAUAUGGCAGGGACCAAGACAGGGAGGCCAUAGUAAAACUGUUGCUAGAUGUUACCAAUGACGGUGGAAUAUCCGUGAUUCCUAUGGUCGGCAUGGGUGGAAUAGGAAAGACUACUUUGGCUCAGAUGGUUUACAAUGAUGACCGAGUGAAACAAAAAUUUGAUGUUAAGGCAUGGGUUUGUGAUGGGCAAGAAGUAUUUGAUGUUCUUAAGGCGACAAAGACGGUGAUGGAGAAAGUAACUUCUAGUUCUUGCAACUCAACUGAGCUAAACACAAUUCAGGAGAGUUCGAAGGAAGUCCUAGCAGGGAAGAAGUUGUUGGUUGUUUUGGACGACAUGUGGAGUAACAAUUAUGAUGCCUGGACAAGUUUCUUAAAGCCUUUCAAAUCUAGUAACGGGGGUGUUAAGAUUCUUGUAACAACCCGUCUUGAUUCAAUUGCUGAUAUGGUGAAAACUAUUCCAACUUUCCAUUUGAGUUUGUUGGGUGAUGAUCACUGCUGGUCAGUGUUUGCAGAUCAUGCAUGUCUUAAUUCUGCUGAACCUCAUAUCCGUUCUGCUUUAGAAGUAGUUGGUCGAAAAAUUGUCAAAAAGUGUAAUGGGUUAGCUUUGGCUGCUCAAACACUUGGAGGUUUAUUAAGAGCAAGAAAAGAAGUAGCAGAUUGGGAGUUUAUAUUGAGGAAUGAAAUUUGGGAACUUCCCAAAAAAGAUAGUGGAAUUCUUCCAGCAUUAAGAAUCAGUUAUCACUACCUCCCUUCCCACUUAAAACGUUGCUUUGUUUAUUGUUCUUUAUUCCCAAAAGACUAUGAAUUCAAAAGAGAUAAACUGGUGUUAUUGUGGAUGGCAGAAGGUCUUUUGCAGCAACCAAAGAGUGGCAGCACUUUAGAAGAAGUUGGUUCUAAAUAUUUUAAUGAUUUGGUUUCAAGAUCAUUUUUCCAACAUUCUAAAACCAAUGAAAAUUUAUUUGUGAUGCACGAUCUCAUGCAUGAUUUAGCAAUAUUCUACGGUGGAAAGUUCUUUUCUAGAAACUUUGAACUCAAAACUGCAGACAAGCAUGAUGCUUGUCCUCGUCAUCUUUCAGAUGGUCUUGUCAUCGAUGAUUCGUUAUUCUCAGAGAUCUCGGAAGUAUGUGAUUAUUUAAAAAAUGCAAGGACAUUGCUGGAUAUCAGUUUUGAAACAUGGGAGGAUUCCACAGAGGAAAUUGAUCUUUGUGGCUUAUUUGCACAGUUGAAGCGCUUAAGGGUUUUGUCAUUUGAAUUCUUUCCUCGUGAUGAGCAUGAUUCAUUGCUCGAUUCAAUAGGUGAUUUGAUCCAUUUGCGUUAUUUGGAUCUCUCUCAUUCACCUAUCGUGACAUUGCCAAAGUCAAUGUGCAAAUUAUAUAAUUUACAAACACUGAAGUUGAGUUUUUGUAGAAGACUAAAAAAGCUUCCAAGCAACAUGCAGGAUCUUAUAAGUUUGCGUCAUUUGGAUCUCUCUGAUACGCCUAUUGUGGAAUUUCCCGAGUCAUUGAGCAAAUUGUAUAAUUUACAAACACUGAAGUUGAAUAAUUGUGAAAGACUAGAGAAGCUUCCAUGCAACAUGCAGGAUCUUAUAAAUUUGCGUCAUUUGGAUCUCUCUGAUACGCCUAUUGUGGAAUUACCUGAGUCAUUAAGCAAAUUGUAUAAUUUACAAACACUGGAGUUGAAUGAUUGUAAAGAACUAGAGAAGCUUCCAACAAACAUGCAAGAUCUUGUAAAUCUGCACCAUCUCCAUAUUGAAGGUACUUGUUUAAAAGAUAUGCCAAAAGGGAUGAGCAAAUUAAAAGAUUUGCAGAUUCUGAGUUACUAUGUUGUUGGCAAGGAUAAAGAGAAUGGGGUAGGGGAAUUGGGAGAACUCGUAAAUCUUCAAGGCUCAUUUCGUAUUGAGAAAUUAGAGAAUGUCGAUUAUAGCAGUGAGGCUUGGAAGGCGAGGAUGGUUGAUAAGAAAUACAUCAAUGAUCUAUAUUUGGACUGGUCAGCAGAUGAAGAUGGUGAUGUUGUUGAUUCCAAAAUAGAAAAAGAUGGGCUUGCCAAAUUAGAACCUCACAAUAACUUGAAACGUCUAACAAUCAGCUGUUACGGAGGUACGAUGUUUCCGGAUUGGGUAGGGCAGUCUUCGUACCACAACAUGACUGAGUUGCAGCUGAUUGGAUGCAGGAAUUGUUGGGUGCUUCCUUCACUUGGACAGUUACCCUCUCUGGAGAGGCUGGUCAUUGCAGGGUUCAAGAAGGUGAAGAAGAUUGGUGGGUCAUUCUAUAAGGGUGAUGGAACUCAUCAGCAUCAGGAGACACCCUUCCGAUCCCUUAAAUAUCUCUCAUUUCGAGAUAUGGGUUGGUGGGAGGAAUGGGAGUCAUAUGAAUGUGAUGAUGAUGAUGAUGCACCAUUUCCGAAACUUGAAGAACUUUGGAUAGAGUACUGUCCUAAGUUAACAAGAGAUUUGCCCACUUUCCUUCCGUCUUUGAAACAACUCCGCAUUCGAGGAUGCGAGGAGCUUGGUUGUUAUCUUCCAAGAGCUCCCAUCUUACGCGAAUCAUUUAUAUUAGGCAAACAGAAAGCAAGAAUGCGGGACCUACCACUUUCACUGCAAGCACUAGGAAUCGGAGGAAAGCAGCUUGUGGAGGAUGUGUUUGAGGCCAUGACCCACACCCAACCAACCUCUCUCAGUUAUUUAGGAAUCUCAGAGUGCUCAUCAGCUAUAUCAUUUCCAGGGGAUGCUUUGCCCCCUUCGUUGAAACAGUUGCGGAUCAAUAACUGCAAGAAUGUAGAAUUCCCAAUGCAACACCAACAACAUCACUCGCUAAUGGAAUUAAAAAUAGACAACAGCUGUGAUUCACUUACAUCCUUCGCAUUGCCAGCGUUCCCAAAUCUCUUGUCUCUGAGAAUUGAAAGAUGUGAAAAUUUGACAUCUCUAGAGGUGUCACAGUUACAGUCCCUCCGAUAUUUACAGGUUGAAGAAUGCCCUAAGCUGGAGAACAUAAUAAGGCUGCCUGCCUCUUUAAGGAAACUCGACAUCAGGAAAUGUCCGUUGUUGGGUGAAGGCAUAGAGAGGAAGGACCCCCACGUUUGGCCAUCCAUUUCCCACAUCCCCGACAUUUUUGUUAAUAGGACAUGGAUUCAGUUUGACUCAACAUCUUAAAACAGCUUAUUCACCAUUCAAGUUGAUGGCAGGAGACAGUUUCCAUGAGGACUCAACAUCUUAAAACAGUACUCAAACUACCACCUUUGUUUUGGCAGAUGCAGAGAAUCCAUUUUCAAAUGAAGGGGUCAUCAAAGAAUACUAAGCAAUGCAUCAUUACAAGAUGUGUCAAGGGUGAAAUACUUGCAUGCAUGCAUGUAUAGGAAUGGAUCAAAUAUGAAGGGGUAUUUAUUUUGCAUGAUUAUUCUUAGAUUUAUUUGAGUUAUUGGAUGAUUAAAAAGUAAGCUAUGGCCAAUUAUAGAGAUAUCCCAAACUCUCAGCAAAAUGGUACAAUUGGUUCUUGAGAGGCAGAGAAGAAGCAUUUCUAUAAUUGGGGAUAUUGUUGCAGAAGUUUGGAACAGGGGAAUUGCAUGCUUGAGUAGUUGCUGGGAUGUAUAGUUUUUUUGAGUUUUUGUGAUGUAAACUGUUGGUUUGACGAAUCUUGAUGGCAAUGCCGAAGGGAUUCAACCACACCACUAGGCUUUAUGUCUGUUAUUUUGGAUGUUAAUAGGAAAAUUGUAUGUUAUAAACUUCAUUAUGAACUCAUUAAAUCAUAAUAGCAUGCUAUUCUUUUCUCUGUUCGGGUUUUGCCUUGAUCAUUGAUUUCUUUUUAUAAUAUAUCUUCAGUUUACUGGAUUGUUUAAAGAGAGAAUAGUGGUGGAUGCAAUCUAAAGAAACCAAAUCAACAAUGGCAAUGUUAAAAAUCAAAGUGUCUGAUUUAUGUUCUCUUGAA
Molecule: RNA transcript, 4562 nt
Organism: Arachis stenosperma
Lineage: Eukaryota; Viridiplantae; Streptophyta; Magnoliopsida; Fabales; Fabaceae
Gene name: putative disease resistance RPP13-like protein 1
Exons: 5
Source: RefSeq, a predicted model, not a curated record